This 73-nucleotide transfer RNA is filed under the name Caudoviricetes sp. Its description in RNAcentral is "tRNA-Asn". It matches the Rfam family "tRNA". From Rfam's summary of the family: Transfer RNA (tRNA) molecules are approximately 80 nucleotides in length. Lineage: Duplodnaviria; Heunggongvirae; Uroviricota; Caudoviricetes. The record is from RNAcentral.
UCCUCUUUAGCUCAGUUGGUAGAGCAGCGGACUGUUAAUCCGUUGGUCGCAGGUUCGAGUCCUGCAGGAGGAG